UGGGGAAUAUUGGGCAAUGGGCGCAAGCCUGACCCAGCAACGCCGCGUGAGGGAAGAAGGUCUUCGGAUUGUAAACCUCUGUCCUUGGGGACGAAAAAAAUGACGGUACCCAAGGAGGAAGCUCCGGCUAACUACGUGCCAGCAGCCGCGGUAAUACGGAGGGAGCAAGCGUUGUCCGGAAUUACUGGGCGUAAAGGGUGCGUAGGCGGUCAGGCAAGUCAGAUGUGAAAUCCCCGGGCUUAACUCGGGUGGUGCAUUUGAAACUGCUUGACUUGAGUGCAGGAGAGGAAAGCGGAAUUCCUAGUGUAGCGGUGAAAUGCGUAGAUAUUAGGAGGAACACCAGUGGCGAAGGCGGCUUUCUGGACUGUAACUGACGCUGAGGCACGAAAGCGUGGGGAGCAAACA
Molecule: ribosomal RNA, 405 nt
Filed under: uncultured prokaryote
Description: bacterial SSU rRNA
Rfam family: Bacterial small subunit ribosomal RNA
Source: RNAcentral